GCCGAUGUGGUGAAAUUGGUAGACGCGCCACCUUGAGGGGGUGGUGGGGAGACCCGUGCCAGUUCGAGUCUGGCCAUCGGCACCA
Molecule: transfer RNA, 85 nt
Filed under: Gammaproteobacteria bacterium
Lineage: Bacteria; Pseudomonadati; Pseudomonadota; Gammaproteobacteria
Also listed under: 2 other names
Description: tRNA-Leu
Rfam family: tRNA
About the family: Transfer RNA (tRNA) molecules are approximately 80 nucleotides in length. Their secondary structure includes four short double-helical elements and three loops (D, anti-codon, and T loops).
Source: RNAcentral